Molecule: unclassified non-coding RNA, 353 nt
Filed under: Hevea brasiliensis (rubber tree)
Lineage: Eukaryota; Viridiplantae; Streptophyta; Magnoliopsida; Malpighiales; Euphorbiaceae
Source: RNAcentral
AAAAAAACUCCAUGAAUCAAUUUAUCAAAGGCCAAAAAACUCAAAUCUCUACACAGAAGAGAAAAAAAUACAAUUUAAAAUUUUCCUUUCCUUACAUAUUUUCUCUAUAAUAAAGCAGAAAAAAGCAAUAAACCUAAACUCAUAUGAUGAAAAUCAAGACCCAUAGCUACAAUCGACACUGGUGGAGCUUCCACAGCGAAACACUUCCAAGUCAUACACUUGCAUGGUGAAACCCAUAGACAAAACCAGCAACAGCUGCAGAUGUUGAGCUUCCAUGGCGAAACACUUCGAAGUCAAUUCUGCUUCCACAGUGAAGCUCAACUCAACUAAGCGUUUAUCCAAAAAAUUUGGGA